This 481-nucleotide ribosomal RNA is filed under the name uncultured bacterium. Its description in RNAcentral is "bacterial SSU rRNA". It matches the Rfam family "Bacterial small subunit ribosomal RNA", at positions 38 to 504 of the family's 1533-position model. The record is from RNAcentral.
GGCGGCGUGCCUAAUACAUGCAAGUAGAACGCUGAAGGAGGAGCUUGCUUCUCUGGAUGAGUUGCGAACGGGUGAGUAACGCGUAGGUAACCUGCCUGGUAGCGGGGAUAACUAUUGGAAACGAUAGCUAAUACCGCAUAAGAGUAGAUGUUGCAUGACAUUUGCUUAAAAGGUGCAAUUGCAUCACUACCAGAUGGACCUGCGUUGUAUUAGCUAGUUGGUGAGGUAACGGCUCACCAAGGCGACGAUACAUAGCCGACCUGAGAGGGUGAUCGGCCACACUGGGACUGAGACACGGCCCAGACUCCUACGGGAGGCAGCAGUAGGGAAUCUUCGGCAAUGGACGGAAGUCUGACCGAGCAACGCCGCGUGAGUGAAGAAGGUUUUCGGAUCGUAAAGCUCUGUUGUAAGAGAAGAACGAGUGUGAGAGUGGAAAGUUCACACUGUGACGGUAUCUUACCAGAAAGGGACGGCUAACUAC